UUAGGACAAAGUGCGAACGCUU
Molecule: microRNA, 22 nt
Filed under: Human alphaherpesvirus 2
Lineage: Duplodnaviria; Heunggongvirae; Peploviricota; Herviviricetes; Herpesvirales; Orthoherpesviridae
Description: hsv2-miR-H11-3p
Gene: hsv2-miR-H11-3p
Source: miRBase by way of RNAcentral